CAAGAUAAAAAAGAAGAUAAUAUGUUAUUAUGAAGAAAACGCAUCUCACUAACGCUCUUGGAAUGUUAGAUCGAACACAACGUUACGCAACACAUCCGAAUUCUUUUCGAACAAGGCCACAGAUCUAGAAUAUAAAGGAGGCCUUUGGCUUGUGCGUGAAUAUCUUUCGAACAAAAUUACCAAGAAUGUGAAUGGCGGGAAAAACAACCGAAAAAGGAAGAAGGAGAAUCGACCUAAUCGCGAAUCGAAUGAAUUCCAUUGAUCUUUAUGUAAAAAAUAAUACCAGCUAACGUAGGUGUUCUGUUUGCUCGGGAAACGAUGAAUGAGAAAAAAGUAAAUGAGAGAGAGAACACGAUGAAGAAGAAGAAGAAAAGGAUAAAAGUAGACGGAUAAAAAGACAGGGAAGAGAUGCAUUCUGCAAGUAUAUUACAAGGUGUGUCUUGGCUGGUUGGUUGGUAGUAUGUUGGCUACUCAACUUAAAGUAAAGGCGAUUACGUCAAAUCAAGACUCCAUACGAGAGGAUUUUUAACCUAACGUCCUUCUCUUCUCCUUUCUUCCUCCUCUUUACAAAGUAUAUACAUUGUAUUACUACUGCUGAGAAUGCCAUUGAAACGCAGGAUGUAAAAAGAAACGAUGUUGAAACCUGGCUAAAGGUCUUAUGCUGCUAUGUAUUGAGAUACUUUAACCUUUCCGUACGCUUAAUGGGAAAUUAUACAUAACUAUCGUUCGUCUGACAAGGUAAGGAAUUAUAAAAAAUAAGAAAGACGAUGAAGAUUCGAUAACAAAUCAUCAUUUCCAUCCGUUGUAACGUAGGUAUAUGCUACGUAGUAAGUCAAGAAGAAGAGAGAGAGUCGAGUUAAUUACAACCUAACAUACACAAGUUUACAUUGUAUCCAUAUACUCCUUUUUUCUCUUCGUAGAAGAAGUUUUACUGUCAGUGUGAGAGAAGAACGAAGAAAAGAAGAUGUGGGGGAAGGAAAGAAUGAUUUCAGGAUCAGUGGGGGGUUGUUCAGCAAAGAGGAGGGCAUCGCAAGAUUCGACGAUUUUAAUCUCUCCUCUUCUGAUAUCCUCCUCCUUGGUACCUCCUGGAGACUUCUGCAAACCUGUCCUCUUUUAACAGCCAAGCUUGUCCUCUUUCUAUCUCUCUUUUUCUUUCUCUCGUAAUAUCUUCUCUCUUCUCUGUUCCUUCUUCUUCUUCUUCUUCU
Molecule: long non-coding RNA, 1205 nt
Filed under: Polistes fuscatus (common paper wasp)
Lineage: Eukaryota; Metazoa; Arthropoda; Insecta; Hymenoptera; Vespidae
Description: uncharacterized LOC122515846
Source: RNAcentral